Trichonephila clavipes is the source of this 73-nucleotide non-coding RNA. NCBI's taxonomy places the organism in Eukaryota, Metazoa, Arthropoda, Arachnida, Araneae, Nephilidae. The record is from the annotation of a GenBank genome assembly.
GUCCCUGUAGCACAAUGAAAAGCGCGUUGGAAUCCUAAUUCAAUGGUUGUGAGUUCGAAUCCCACCUGGGAUG